This 460-nucleotide ribosomal RNA is filed under the name uncultured bacterium. Its description in RNAcentral is "partial 16S ribosomal RNA". It matches the Rfam family "Bacterial small subunit ribosomal RNA", at positions 338 to 795 of the family's 1533-position model. The record is from RNAcentral.
CCUACGGGAGGCAGCAGUGAGGAAUAUUGGUCAAUGGACGAGAGUCUGAACCAGCCAAGUAGCGUGAAGGAUGACUGCCCUAUGGGUUGUAAACUUCUUUUAUAUGGGAAUAAAAUGUUCCACGUGUGGGAUUUUGUAUGUACCAUAUGAAUAAGGAUCGGCUAACUCCGUUCCAGCAGCCGCGGUAAUACGGAGGAUCCGAGCGUUAUCCGGAUUUAUUGGGUUUAACGGGAGCGUAGGUGGAUUGUUAAGUCAGAUGUGAAAGUUUGCGGCUCAACCGUAAAAUUGCAGUUGAAACUGGCAGUCGUGAGUACAGUAGAGGUGGGCGGAAUUCGUGGUGUAGCGGUGAAAUGCUUAGAUAUCACGAAGAACUCCGAUUGCGAAGGCAGCUCACUGGACUGCAACUGACACUGAGGCUCGAAAGUGUGGGUAUCAAACAGGAUUAGAUACCCUGGUAGUC